CUGCCUUAUUGCCAGUUACAUUAAAUACAAUCUCUGACAAGAGUUUAUUAACACUGCACGGUAGUCAACAUCUUUUAGUGAUGCUGAAAGUCGUCCUACACAAUAACCCUCCCCACUCUCGUCUCCCUCACACCAGCCACGAAGGCUUUCAAAGAGAGAGAGAGAAUCCGAAGCAGGCGCCUCUGACAGGGGGGCUCAUCUCCGGAAGCGUGAGCUCAUGACCCAAGCCGCAACUAAGAGUCGGACGCUUAACCGACUGAGCCACCCAGGUGCCCCACGUGCACAUAUUUUGAAAUGUAAUUAUUAAAUAAUGAUCGAAUUAAAAUGAAGUGUGAAAUGUA
Long non-coding RNA from Lynx canadensis (Canada lynx), 341 nucleotides. RefSeq lists it as uncharacterized. The record is from RefSeq and is a predicted model, not a curated record. NCBI's taxonomy places the organism in Eukaryota, Metazoa, Chordata, Mammalia, Carnivora, Felidae. The transcript has 2 exons.